RNAcentral lists this ribosomal RNA (351 nucleotides) under Eukaryota sp. RNAcentral describes it as "SSU rRNA". It matches the Rfam family "Eukaryotic small subunit ribosomal RNA", at positions 1325 to 1699 of the family's 1831-position model. The record is from RNAcentral.
UCGUUAACGAACGAGACCUUAACCUGCUAAAUAGUUAGGCCAACGUUUGUUGGUCGUCAACUUCUUAGAGGGACUAUUGACUAUUAGUCAAUGGAAGUUUGAGGCAAUAACAGGUCUGUGAUACCCUUAGAUGUUCUGGGCCGCACGCGCGCUACACUGACAGAGCCAGCGAGUACUCCCUUGGCCGGAAGGCCCGGGUAAUCUUGUUAAACUCUGUCGUGCUGGGGAUAGAGCAUUGCAAUUAUUGCUCUUCGACGAGGAAUGCCUAGUAAGCGUGAGUCAUCAGCUCGCGUUGAUUACGUCCCUGCCCUUUGUACACACCGCCCGUCGCUAGUACCGAUUGAAUGGAUC